AUUGAACGCUGGCGGCAGGCCUAACACAUGCAAGUCGAGCGGAAGAAGGGUGCUUGCUCCUUCUUUCGGGUGCCGACGGGCGGGUGAGUGAGAGGUAUCUGCGUGUCUAUGUGUUCUAGCGUGCGGAAAUGGGGACUCUUACCGUAUACCUCCUUAGGGCCUACGGGUGAGAUCUUGGGACCUCACGCCCUCACAUGAUCCUAGGACGGAUUAGCUAGUUGGUGGGGUAAAGGGCUACCAAGGCGACGAUCCGAAACUGGUCUGAGAGGAUGAUCAGUCACACUGGAACUGAGACACGGUCCAGACUCCUACGGGAGGCAGCAGUGGGGAAUAUUGGACAAUGGGCGAAAGCCUGAUCCAGCCAUGCCGCGUGUGUGAAGAAGGUCUUCGGAUUGUAAAGCACUUUAAGUUGGGAAGAAAAGCAGUAAGUUAAUACCUUGCUGUUUUGACGUUACCAAAAGAAUAAGCACCGGCUAACUUCGUG
Molecule: ribosomal RNA, 484 nt
Filed under: uncultured bacterium
Lineage: Bacteria
Description: partial 16S ribosomal RNA
Rfam family: Bacterial small subunit ribosomal RNA
Source: RNAcentral